CAGUAGCCGCGGUAAUACGGAGGGUGCAAGCGUUAAUCGGAAUUACUGGGCGUAAAGCGCACGCAGGCGGUUUGUUAAGUCAGAUGUGAAAUCCCCGGGCUCAACCCGGGAACUGCAUUUGAAACUGGCAGGCUGGAGUCUCGUAGAGGGGGGUAGAAUUCCAGGUGUAGCGGUGAAAUGCGUAGAGAUCUGGAGGAAUACCGGUGGCGAAGGCGGCCCCCUGGACGAAGACUGACGCUCAGGUGCGAAAGCGUGGGGAGCAAACAGGAUUAGAUACCCCGGUAGUCCCUGUCUCUUAUAC
RNAcentral lists this ribosomal RNA (301 nucleotides) under uncultured bacterium. RNAcentral's name for it is "partial 16S ribosomal RNA". It matches the Rfam family "Bacterial small subunit ribosomal RNA", at positions 509 to 807 of the family's 1533-position model. The record is from RNAcentral.